UUGUAGGACAAACAUUAAACAAACAUUAAUGAAAACGUUUUAAAACUGUGCCAGAACUACGUUUGGUAUAAAUAUAUUUCUAGUAUGUAGUUUCUUAUACUUCGAAUCGCUAAAUUCUGCUUACACAUCUCGCUACGAAGUCUCUGCUCUCCACCAGAAGGCAGUUUUACGAUGCUUCUCAAGACGUCAUUCGUGUCGUCGUUUAAGCCAGGUCCCUGCCACAGUUAGCAGCAACACUGGCCAUAAUGAAAUCAUCAGUAAUCCCAAAACUCAUCUCAUCAUACCCAAGAUGAAAGUGCAUUUUCUUUUUUUCGGACUGAAUGGUAAAAUGACAAACCAAUUAAACAGGCUGUGGACAUCAAUGGAAGACACGUGAUUUAUUGUUCAACGGUGUGGUCUAACUGUUUACAGGUAAAGAAAUCUGACUUGCCUUUAUUGGUGAAGUAAAUAAAGUAAAUUGGAUAUAUGGAUUAACAAUGC
This is a non-coding RNA of Danio rerio (zebrafish), 480 nucleotides long. Lineage: Eukaryota; Metazoa; Chordata; Actinopteri; Cypriniformes; Danionidae. The record is from Ensembl.